This 415-nucleotide ribosomal RNA is filed under the name Selenomonas sputigena. RNAcentral describes it as "bacterial SSU rRNA". It matches the Rfam family "Bacterial small subunit ribosomal RNA", at positions 28 to 428 of the family's 1533-position model. The record is from RNAcentral. Lineage: Bacteria; Bacillati; Bacillota; Negativicutes; Selenomonadales; Selenomonadaceae.
GACGAACGCUGGCGGCGUGCUUAACACAUGCAAGUCGAACGGGAACCUUUAUUUCGGUAAAGGUGAGAGUGGCAAACGGGUGAGUAACACGUAGGCAACCUGCCGACAGGAUGGGGACAACAUUCCGAAAGGAAUGCUAAUACCGAAUGAAGUCACCGGAGGGCAUCCUCUGGUGAUGAAAGAUGGCCUUUGAAUAUGCUAUCACCUGUCGAUGGGCCUGCGUCUGAUUAGCCAGUUGGCGGGGUAACGGCCCACCAAAGCGACGAUCAGUAGCCGGUCUGAGAGGAUGAACGGCCACAUUGGGACUGAGACACGGCCCAGACUCCUACGGGAGGCAGCAGUGGGGAAUCUUCCACAAUGGGCGAAAGCCUGAUGGAGCAACGCCGCGUGAGUGAAGAAGGUCUUCGGAUCGUAA